Molecule: ribosomal RNA, 448 nt
Filed under: uncultured bacterium
Lineage: Bacteria
Description: bacterial SSU rRNA
Rfam family: Bacterial small subunit ribosomal RNA
Source: RNAcentral
UGGGGAAUAUUGCACAAUGGGCGAAAGCCUGAUGCAGCAACGCCGCGUGCGGGAAGAAGGCCCUAGGGUUGUAAACCGCUUUCAGCAGGGAAGAAAAUGACGGUACCUGCAGAAGAAGGUGCGGCCAACUACGUGCCAGCAGCCGCGGUGACACGUAGGCACCAAGCGUUGUCCGGAUUUAUUGGGCGUAAAGAGCUCGUAGGCGGUUCAGUAAGUCGGGUGUGAAAACUCUGGGCUCAACCCAGAGACGCCACCCGAUACUGCUGUGACUUGAGUACGGUAGGGGAGUGGGGAAUUCCUGGUGUAGCGGUGAAAUGCGCAGAUAUCAGGAGGAACACCAGUGGCGAAGGCGCCACUCUGGGCCGUAACUGACGCUGAGGAGCGAAAGCGUGGGGAGCAAACAGGAUUAGAUACCCAGGUAGUCCCUGAGCGGGCUGGCAAGGCGCAU